ACUACCGAAAAUUGUUGAUCAGAAUAUCAAUCUCUGGAGUAGUAUUUUCCAAAAGCAUGGAGGCCACCAUAGCUUGCUGCUCAUCCGCCAGGGCGCUCCUGCCGGCUGCCGGCAUUUCGACUCACCAGCAUUCCACUUCAGUUGUGGCUCCAUCUUUCAGCUCCAAGGGCCUAAAAUCAAGCUCCCUCUUCGGAGAAUCACUACGACAAGUGCCACGAUCAUCGCUCAAGUUUUCUACAACAAAACAGUCCUCCCAUGUGAUCAAGUGUGAGAUCGGCGAUAGCCUGGAGGAGUUUCUUGCAAAGGCAACCCCGGAUAAGGGACUGAUCAGGUUGCUGUUAAGCAUGGGAGAAGCAUUGAGGACUAUAUCCUUCAAGGUCAGAACAGCUUCUUGUGGAGGAACAGCCUGCGUUAAUUCUUUCGGAGAUGAGCAGCUCGCCGUGGAUAUGCUUGCUGACAAGCUUUUGUUCGAGGCCUUAAGUUACUCGCACGUCUGCAAAUACGCUUGCUCUGAAGAGGUUCCGGAACUCCAAGACAUGGGAGGCCCAGUUGAAGGUGGAUUUAGUGUUGCUUUUGAUCCGCUUGAUGGCUCCAGCAUAGUCGACAAACUUCACAGUAGGGACAAUCUUUGGUGUGUGGCCAGGGGAUAAGUUAACUGGGGUAACAGGAAGAGACCAAGUUGCUGCAGCCAUGGGGAUUUAUGGUCCUAGAACUACAUAUGUUCUUGCUAUCAAGGGCUUCCCCGGAACCCACGAGUUUCUUCUUCUUGAUGAAGGAAAGUGGCAACAUGUCAAAGAGACAACAGAGAUUGGUGAAGGAAAAAUGUUUUCGCCCGGGAAUUUGAGAGCCACAUUUGACAAUCCAGACUAUGACAAGUUGAUCAGCUACUACGUAAAAGAGAAGUACACGUUGAGAUACACCGGAGGAAUGGUGCCAGAUGUCAAUCAGAUAAUUGUGAAAGAGAAGGGGGUUUUCACAAACGUGAUAUCUCCAACUACGAAAGCCAAGCUGAGGCUGUUAUUUGAGGUAGCUCCAUUAGGGUUGUUGAUUGAGAAUGCUGGAGGUUAUAGUAGUGAUGGUCAGCAGUCUGUGCUAGACAAGGUCGUUGUUAACCUUGACGAUAGAACUCAGGUUGCUUAUGGAUCAAAAAAUGAGAUAAUCCGAUUCGAAGAAACUUUAUACGGAUCAUCCAGGCUCAAAGGUGUGCCUGUUGGAGCUGCAGCUUAAGCCAUGCAUUCCUUUCUCGUAUAAUGGUGCACAAAUUUUCCAAAGGUGGUGGAAAUGGAUCCAAGUUUAAUUUAGUAUAUCGUUAUAGUUUGUAUUAGGUAUAUGUGCAGUUGUGCACCUUAUUCACCAUACUAUAUAUAUAGCAACUUGGUGCGUGUUUACAAAGCAUUGAAAGGCUUUCAAAUGAUCUAAAGUAGCAAUGUUUACAUGUGAUUAGCAUGA
Molecule: non-coding RNA, 1449 nt
Organism: Malus domestica (apple)
Lineage: Eukaryota; Viridiplantae; Streptophyta; Magnoliopsida; Rosales; Rosaceae
Source: RefSeq, a predicted model, not a curated record